UACGAAUGGGGCAAGCGUUGUUCGGAAUCACUGGGCUUAAAGCGUGCGCAGGCGGCUAUGAAAGUCAGAAGUGAAAUCCCAGGGCUUAACCCUGGAAUUGCUUUUGAAACUCCAUAGCUAGAAUACUGGAGAGGUUAGCAGAAUUCCGAGUGUAGAGGUGAAAUUCGCAGAUAUUCGGAGGAAUACCAAUGGCGAAGGCAGCUAACUGGACAGUUAUUGACGCUCAGGCACGAAAGCGUGGGGAGCAAACAGG
Molecule: ribosomal RNA, 253 nt
Filed under: uncultured bacterium
Lineage: Bacteria
Description: partial 16S ribosomal RNA
Rfam family: Bacterial small subunit ribosomal RNA
Source: RNAcentral